AUUGAACGCUGGCGGCAUGCCUUACACAUGCAAGUCGAACGGCAGCACGGGAGCAAUCCUGGUGGCGAGUGGCGAACGGGUGAGUAAAGUAUCGGAACGUGCCCCGUCGUGGGGGAUAACGUAGCGAAAGUUACGCUAAUACCGCAUACGGUCUAUGGGUGAAAGGGGGGGAUCGCAAGACCUCGCGCGAUUGGAGCGGCCGAUAUCAGAUUAGGUAGUUGGUGGGGUAAAGGCCCACCAAGCCGACGAUCUGGAGCGGGUCUGAGAGGACGACCAGCCACACUGGGACGGAGACACGGCCCAGACUCCUACGGGAGGCAGCAGUGGGGAAUUUUGGACAAUGGGCGAAAGCCUGAUCCAGCCAUGCCGCGUGCAGGAUGAAGGCCUUCGGGUUGUAAACUGCUUUUGUACAGAACGAAAAGGACUGCCCUAAUACGGUGGUCCCAUGACGGUACCGUAAGAAUAAGCACCGGCUAACUACGUGCCAGCAGCCGCCGUAA
This 500-nucleotide ribosomal RNA is filed under the name uncultured bacterium. RNAcentral describes it as "partial 16S ribosomal RNA". It matches the Rfam family "Bacterial small subunit ribosomal RNA", at positions 29 to 523 of the family's 1533-position model. The record is from RNAcentral.